CCUACGGGAGGCAGCAGUGAGGAAUAUUGGUCAAUGGCCGGAAGGCUGAACCAGCCAUGCCGCGUGAAGGUCAGUGCCCUAUGGGCGUUAAACUUCUUUUGUGCGGGAGCAAUAAUGGUCACGUGUGGCCAGACGAGAGUACCGUACGAAUAAGCAUCGGCUAACUCCGUGCCAGCAGCCGCGGUAAUACGGGGGAUGCAAGCGUUAUACGGAUUUAUUGGGGUUAAAGGGUGCGUAGGCUGUGAGGUAAGUCAGCGGUGAAAUGCCCCCGCGCAACGGGGUGAAGUGCCAUUGAUACUGCCUUGCUGGAAUGCGGAUGCCGUAGGAGGAAUGUGUGGUGUAGCGGUGAAAUGCAUAGAUAUCACACAGAACACCGAUUGCGAAGGCAUCUCACGAAGCCGCGAUUGACGCUGAUGCACGAAAGCGUGGGUAUCAAACAGGAUUAGAUACCCCAGUAGUC
RNAcentral lists this ribosomal RNA (460 nucleotides) under uncultured bacterium. RNAcentral's name for it is "partial 16S ribosomal RNA". It matches the Rfam family "Bacterial small subunit ribosomal RNA", at positions 338 to 795 of the family's 1533-position model. The record is from RNAcentral.